CCCUGCCAUUGCAGAAGCUUCAAGUAUUGAUGGCACCUUCAUCUCUCCUACUGUCUGCCUGUGGCAUACAACAGUUUAGUCUCCUAAGGACUGAAAUGAUUCAGUCUAACCCAAGUUAUUGUGUUCUCUAUAGAGGUAGUUAGCCAGCACAUCUUGAAGGGACUAGUCAAAGUAAGUGGCUCAUCAAGGAACACUUAACUCACAAUGGACCAUGGAAGAUGCCCAUUUACCUUGAAUGGACUUUCCUGUGGACAUUCCAUAUGAAGUAUAGGACACUGAAAACCCUGAUGUGAGGAUAAGCCACAUACAAGAGUUAAGAACUGGACAGAAGGCUCUUCCUGCUGGGAGGCAAGAGACUGGAAAUCAAAUGCACUAACCACUAGGCCACCUGGCCCUCUGAGGACUCCUACACUGUUCUAUUCAGGUUCUUAUACCCGGCACCUAGAGCUGUGUGAAGGGACACGCCCCCACUCUGGUGGAGAAGAGACUAACAAGCUCUUCUGGGCCUACUCAGCACUAAUGAGGCACACCUGCAUCUGUUCUGCCUGGAGAGGGAAGAGCUUAAAAAAGGAAACCUGCCACAGGAAGGGGGGUGGUGAUCAGAAGAAGGGCUGCUCCACCUCAGAGACGGCUGACAGCAGACACGUCAGCCGAGAAGGAGACAGUCGCAGGUUACACCACUCCCAGAGCUGUACAGCAGUAUGCCCCAGGAGGAGGGGCUCAGCGUAGGCCCCACUAAGGGACAAUAGACUCUGAUACACCAGCCUCAUAUUGGUGAAUCCAGAAAGACUGCCUGAGAGACAGACUACCUUUGUCUUCACUCUUCUCUCAUAAGGGGAGAGGACCCUUCUUUUGCCUGUUGUCUGACUCAGAGAACCCCUUGUGUGCUACAAACUGGUAGUGGGCAGGGCAGAAGACAGUAUGAAUGAUGGACAGCAGGGUCUGAGGGUUGCCCCCUACAAACUGGCUGAAAGUUUUCUUACGGGACAGUGUACCAUCAGAAAAUGCUGAUUUGACAACACUGAAAUAUUUCAUGGCAAGUAUGGAUUCUGACAAAAUUAUCAAAACAAAGGUUUUAAUAAAGUUAAAAUGAAGCGCUUUGACUUUAUAUUUUCAGCUGUUACAUAAUACAUUAAACCAGUGGUUUUUCAAACUUUUUUUUUUC
Mauremys mutica (yellowpond turtle) is the source of this 1165-nucleotide long non-coding RNA. RefSeq lists it as uncharacterized. NCBI's taxonomy places the organism in Eukaryota, Metazoa, Chordata, Testudines, Geoemydidae. The transcript is spliced from 3 exons. The record is from RefSeq and is a predicted model, not a curated record.